RNAcentral lists this ribosomal RNA (456 nucleotides) under uncultured archaeon. RNAcentral's name for it is "bacterial SSU rRNA". It matches the Rfam family "Archaeal small subunit ribosomal RNA", at positions 347 to 803 of the family's 1478-position model. The record is from RNAcentral.
ACUUUACAAUGCUGGCAACAGCGAUAAGGGAACCUCGAGUGCCAGGUUACAAAUCUGGCUGUCGAGAUGCCUAAAAAGCAUUUCAUAGCAAGGGCCGGGCAAGACCGGUGCCAGCCGCCGCGGUAACACCGGCGGCUCGAGUGGUAACCGUUAUUAUUGGGUCUAAAGGGUCUGUAGCCGGCCGGAUAAGUCUCUUGAGAAAUCUGGCAGCUUAACUGUCAGGCUUUCAGGAGAUACUGUCUGGCUCGAGGCCGGGAGAGGUGAGAGGUACUUCAGGGGUAGGGGUGAAAUCUUGUAAUCCUUGAAGGACCACCAGUGGCGAAGGCGUCUCACCAGAACGGACCUGACGGCAAGGGACGAAAGCUAGGGGCACGAACCGGAUUAGAUACCCGGGUAGUCCUAGCCGUAAACGAUACUCGCUAGGUGUCGGCCACGGUGCGACCGUUGUCGGUGCCG